GCCUGGCUGGCUCAGUCGGUUGAGCGUCUGACUCUUGAUUUCAGAUCAGGUCAUGAUCUCAGGGUUCAUGAGUUCGAGCCCCGCGUCAGGCU
Molecule: transfer RNA, 92 nt
Filed under: Felis catus (domestic cat)
Lineage: Eukaryota; Metazoa; Chordata; Mammalia; Carnivora; Felidae
Also listed under: 2 other names
Rfam family: tRNA
About the family: Transfer RNA (tRNA) molecules are approximately 80 nucleotides in length. Their secondary structure includes four short double-helical elements and three loops (D, anti-codon, and T loops).
Source: Rfam by way of RNAcentral